RNAcentral lists this ribosomal RNA (505 nucleotides) under uncultured bacterium. RNAcentral's name for it is "partial 16S ribosomal RNA". It matches the Rfam family "Bacterial small subunit ribosomal RNA", at positions 28 to 507 of the family's 1533-position model. The record is from RNAcentral.
GACGAACGCUGGCGGCGUGCCUAAUACAUGCCAGUAGAACGCACAGUUUAUACCGUAGCUUGCUACACCAUAAACUGUGAGUUGCGAACGGGUGAGUAACGCGUAGGUAACCUGCCUGGUAGCGGGGGAUAACUAUUGGAAACGAUAGCUAAUACCGCAUAAUAUUGAUUAUUGCAUGAUAAUUGAUUGAAAGAUGCUAUUGCAUCACUACCAGAUGGACCUGCGUUGUAUUAGCUAGUAGGUGAGGUAACGGCUCACCUAGGCGACGAUACAUAGCCGACCUGAGAGGGUGGUCGGCCACACUGGGACUGAGACACGGCCCAGACUCCUACGGGAGGCAGCAGUAGGGAAUCUUCGGCAAUGGACGAAAGUCUGACCGAGCAACGCCGCGUGAGUGAAGAAGGUUUUCGGAUCGUAAAGCUCUGUUGUAAGAGAAGAACGGGUGUGAGAGUGGAAAGUUCACACUGUGACGGUAUCUUACCAGAAAGGGACGGCUAACUACGUG